RNAcentral lists this long non-coding RNA (212 nucleotides) under Mytilus galloprovincialis (Mediterranean mussel). Lineage: Eukaryota; Metazoa; Mollusca; Bivalvia; Mytilida; Mytilidae. The record is from RNAcentral.
CAAAACAUGAUUAAGAUUUAUUCAACACAAAAAAAAUUGCUGUCUCACUUUAUUUUGAGACAAUGACAACAAAUAUAAGAAUACACUUGCCAAAACUUGAUUACAAAGCUAAAGUUAUUAAACACAAAACCAAUUAAAAUUGUGCGCGAACAUGUAGGGUGCGAACAGACUUUGGGUGCGAACAUGUAGGGUGCGAAAGUGAAAGGGGGUGA